This 4495-nucleotide long non-coding RNA is filed under the name Podarcis lilfordi (Lilford's wall lizard). The record is from RNAcentral. Lineage: Eukaryota; Metazoa; Chordata; Lepidosauria; Squamata; Lacertidae.
ACAUGGUCUACCUGGCCGCUACCGUGUUUUGUGUUUCUGGUCUUGCUCUGGAGUCCUGACUCCUGACUCAACUGGUCCUGGCUUGUUAUCUUGGGUUGUGAUUGCUUGUUGGUUCUGAUCACUAGCUUCUUCUCAUGGUUCCUGAUUUCUAGAUCCUGACUCACCUCUGACAGAUGCCUAUGGUUCAGCCUGACACCUUGAGUCUUUGGCCCCUCUUACAUCACUUCAGAAUGGCUCUGCUGAAGUUAACGUUCUCUUCCACCAGUCACUGUGAUCAUAUCAUCCCUUUCCUGGGUAUUUGUGUGUGACAUGGAUGGCAUACAAAUCACGCAGCGUAGUGCAAGAGCUGAGAACUCAUGGGUGUCAUCUGCAAAAAGCACUCCAUGAUCCGUUAGGUACAUUUUUGGAGCUUCAGUGAUCACGUAGCUGCUGGGCCUGAAAUCUGUGCUGUAUUGGGGUGGUGGUGGAUGCUAUUCACACGUGAGAGAGAAGAGGCUCCCAUUUUGCUACACCUGCGAAGCUCAUCCGACCCCUUUUGUCUUCCAAAGUAAGUCAGCACCCCUCACCCAAGCAGUGGUCACAAAACGAUUGCAGUCCUUAGAGGGCUCUUGAUUUCUCCCACCCCAGUCACAUAUUUCCUUAUCUUUUAAUUCUGCUUUCUUGGAUUUAGGGACAAAAGAGCACUAGCUAGAUCAGCUUGGAAUGCUGUAUUAGUUUUCUCUUUCUUAUUGAUUUGGGAAGGUUAAUCAUCAUUGCAUAGUUCACAAUUUCCCUGUAUGGGGAAGUGCAUACAGACAUGAUCCCAAAAGGUGAUGUGUGUUUUCAAGGCGGGGAGAAGAAACCACAGAAAAGAAAUGUUCAUGUAUCGAGGCUAAAUCCUGUUGUUAGGGCAACAGCAUGACAGUAGCCAAGACUGUUGCUGCUUAUGACACAGGUCUGUCAGGUGGAGUUGUGGGUGGUUUUUUGUUUUUUGUUUGCCUUUGUGUUGUCAAAAUGACUCCCUGCAGCCAUUGCAUACGUUAUGAGUGCAUAAUUUCUGUAGCCUACUUCUUUUAAAUAUUCAUGAUUGCUUUUUAAAUGCAUUAUUAUCCAAGCCACUGUAAAUAACAUUUUAAUUUUCGUUUAUAAGAAGUAGGCCUUUGGAUUAUUAUUAUUUUUGGAAUAAUAACCACUCCUAGUGCUGUACUGGUGCAGUUCAGGCAGCAGCACCUGUCUGUCGCCCUAUGCAACACAAGGACGAUGGUCUGGUUGUGGGGCUGUUUUCCCUGCUGUUGUCAAAAAGCAUCUUGUUCUGCUAUUUGCAUCAGAGUCUUGGGGCCCAUAUGAAUGUUCACAGUGCCCACCAACCACACUUUAAGAACCACAGUCUUAAACUAAUGAGAACCAAAGGAAACCCAUUUAAAAUAAACAAAUUCAUUGUUAAACUUUAUUUCAUUACUCUUCAUUAUGAAUUCUUUUAUUCGUUCAUAAAGUAUUCAGACAGAACCUCAUUCUGUAAGAUCAUAUUUUUGCAUUGCCAAGAGACUGUCCUAUAUUUUGUUUUCUUAAUAUGUACUUAACAGCUUUGUGAACUGCAAAUGUCAUGGGCUUUUGCGGGUUCCUGGUCCACCCAGGCCCUGCUGCUGCACAACCUCUGCUUGUUUUUGUGCAGGAGACUCAAGAGAUUGAAUAGGAAAAACCAUACCCUCAGCAUUUGAUUGACUGCAGAAAAACGAUAGCUUAUCUGUGGUUGAGAUACUUGUUUGUAGGGAGAAAGAGUGCUACUUAGUAUGCAAUUGUGACUCACAUAUUUGCAAACGUUGAUUCAAUUGUUUGUUGACUUAUAGAUGGGUCCUUCCCCUAUUAUAAAUUGUUUAGGCACUGGAAAGGGGUGCACUUCUCAUUUGCAGUUAAGGGUGUUGAAUUUGGAGCUCAACCCUCCCCCCCCCCCUUUGGCCCAGUAUACCUGAAGGAGCGUCUCCACCCCCUUCGUUCUGCCCAGACACUGAGAUCCAGUGCUGAAGGCAUUCUGGUAGUUCCCUCACUGUGAGAAGCCAAGUUACAGGGAACCAGGCAGAAGUCUUCUCGGUAGUGGCGCCGCCCUGUGGAAGGCUCUCCCAUCAGAUGUCAAGGAAAUAAACAACUAUCUGACUUUUAGAAGACAUCUGAAGGCAGCCCAGUUUAGGGAAAUUUUUAAGCACUGAUGUUUUAGUGUAUGUUUAAUCUCUGUUGGAAGCUGCCCAGAGUGGCUGGGGAAACACAGCCAGAUGGGCGGGGUACAAAUAAUAAAUUAUUAUUAUUAUUACUAUUAUUGUUGUUAUUGUUACCACUACUACUACUACUACUACUACAGUAUUUCCCCACUUUUCUUUUUGACCUCUUUGAGAAUUUGCUUUUAUUUCUUCAACCACGGUUUCCUGUACUGUUAACAAACUUCCUUUCACUCUGCAGCAAUCUGUAAAUAUCAGCCAAGCAAGGAUAACUUUUCUUGCGCCUGACAAAGUGCUCUCUUAAGUCCACAAAAGCUUAUGCCACAAUAAAUCAGUUUGUUUUUAAGUUGUCACAAGAUUACUUGUCAUUGCUGCAACGGACCAAUAGGGCUUUCCUCUUAUAAUGCAUCAUUGUAGAGAAACACAAGGACUUUGAGGAUAGGAAAAACAACAACCAAGGACUUUGCAUGAGGCUCCAAAUCAAAGCAUUUUCAAUUCAGAGAUUGAUUACUGUAUUUUUCGCUGUAUAGGACGCACCAGAGAAUAUGAUGCACCUAGUUUUGGGGGGAGGAAAACAAGGGGAAAAAAAUUGAAUCCCAGAAGCCAGAACAUCAAGAUCUGGCUUCUGGGAUACUGUGUGGCUGUUCUGGCUUCGGUGAUAACAGCACCAAGCCUCUUCAGGGCAGCGGGAUGAAGGCCCCCCCUGCCCGGAAGAGGCUAAGGCAGAAGCCAGGACAGGCGCCUCGCUGAAGGGGUGCUGCGCAGUUCUCCCUCUUUGCGCAGCGCCACUCCUUCGCAGCGUAGGUGCUGCGCAGAGAGGGAGAACUGUGCAGUGCCCCUUCAAGCGAAGCUGGAGAAGGAACAGAAGGAGACCCUUCUGUUCCUCCUCCGGCUUCCAGGCCAGGCGCCUCGCUUAAGCUUUCCGCUGCUCCCCAGGUCCCCCCCCUAGCCCCAGGGACCACACAUUUGCUCCAUAAGACGCACAGACAUUUCCCCUUAGAUUUUAAGAGGGGAAAAGUGCGUCCUAUGGAGCGAAAAAUACAGUAGUUUCAGGAUGCAACCUGCUAAUCAGAGCUGAUAGGAAGUUCACACUGGAAAAUUUAACUGUGUUCAAGAUACAAAAUUUGCAUUUGACUCAGUGAGUUGAAUCCAGAAAUACAUGAGUAGAACUCUGUUCAUGCAGGGUGUCCUACCUCCCAUUACUUCAGCCCCCUGCAUCCCACAUCGUGAGCGAAUUCUGAAGUUUAAGAUACUCCCAGGAAUGGCAGAUGCUGGGAUAGGAGGGGCAUGGAAAUCAUGAGAAAUCAGUUGGGCCACCUUGUGCAAGCAGAAUUGCCUUUCUGCACAAGACACCUCUGGACCCAAGACAAUCAACUCAAAUUUUCAGACUUUAUAUUGCUGUGCUUUGAACAUUCAACACUUCCACAUUUUAAAUGUUAUCACCAGAGUCUGACAUGCCUAAAUAAACUUAAUAUUAUUUUUUUCUUUUAAAAAAAUCAUAGUAUCCAAAUAUAAAUAAUUGGUGGAUUUCAAAUUUUGAAAUUGAUUUUUAACAUUCAGGUAGAAAUCAACAUUAAUAAAUAAAGUUCUGCAAAUUAUCUACAAGCAACUUCAAAUGUUACAUGGAAACCCCAAAACACGCAAGUGCCUGUUCUGAUUCUUCCACAUAACUCAUGAAGGAAUUAAGUGGUUUCUUUUGUACUAUGAAGCUCAAAUAAGAACCUUGGAGGAUCAGACACUACUGCCUUAGUUGAUUUAGGGCUGCAGAUGGACUGCAGUUUUUUAAGCCAGCUAGUAAAAAUAUUUGGACCAAAUGCUUCCAACCAGGAUGUCAGGUGAUUGGGUGGAGCAAAUCACUUAAUCCCAGAUCCUGCUGUUGCUUCCAGGAUGAGUAACUGCUCACCUUAGAAAGCUGUCUGUUCUCAGGGCAUGCCAGACUUCCCUUGCUGCCUUGCAUAGCCUGUGAUCUGAAGCCUUCUGAGUAGCCUUGCUCAUGUCAGUAUCUGGCAUUCACUCCUUCUCCACAUGCAGCUGCUGGGUGACCUUGGGCUAGUCACACUUCUCUGAAGUCUCUCAGCCCCACUCACCUCACAGAGUGUUUGUUGUGGGGGAGGAAGGGAAAGGAGAUUGUGAGCCGCUUUGAGACUCCUUAGGGUAGUGAUAAAGCGGGAUAUCAAAUCCAAACUCUUCUUCUUCGUCUUCUUCGUCUUCUUUGUCUUUUUUUAAAUAAUAUUUAUUGAGGAUUUUAAGAUUACAAAGAAACAAAGAAAAAAGUAGACAAAAAGAGAAAUUAAACAAUACAAGUC